RNAcentral lists this ribosomal RNA (459 nucleotides) under uncultured bacterium. RNAcentral's name for it is "partial 16S ribosomal RNA". It matches the Rfam family "Bacterial small subunit ribosomal RNA", at positions 338 to 795 of the family's 1533-position model. The record is from RNAcentral.
CCUACGGGUGGCAGCAGUGAGGAAUAUUGGUCAAUGGCCGAGAGGCUGAACCAGCCAAGUCGCGUGAGGGAAGACGGCCCUACGGGUUGUCAACCUCUUUUGUCGGGGAGCAAAGCGAACCACGUGUGGUUCCUUGAGAGUACCCGAAGAAAAAGCAUCGGCUAACUCCGUGCCAGCAGCCGCGGUAAUACGGAGGAUGCGAGCGUUAUCCGGAUUUAUUGGGUUUAAGGGGUGCGCAGGCGGAGGUGCAAGUCAGCGGUAAAAUUGCGGGGCUCAACCCCGUCCUGACGUGCAAACUGCAUCGCUUGAGUGCGCGAGAAGUAUGCGGAAUGCGUGGUGUAGCGGUGAAAUGCAUAGAUAUCACGCAGAACUCCGAUUGCGAAGGCAGCAUACCGGCGCGCAACUGACGCUCAUGCACGAAAGCGUGGGUAUCGAACAGGAUUAGAUACCCCAGUAGUC